This 520-nucleotide ribosomal RNA is filed under the name uncultured Glomus. RNAcentral's name for it is "SSU rRNA". It matches the Rfam family "Eukaryotic small subunit ribosomal RNA", at positions 569 to 1090 of the family's 1831-position model. The record is from RNAcentral. Lineage: Eukaryota; Fungi; Glomeromycota; Glomeromycetes; Glomerales; Glomeraceae.
AGCAGCCGCGGUAAUUCCAGCUCCAAUAGCGUAUAUUAAAGUUGCUGCAGUUAAAAAGCUCGUAGUUGAAUUUCGGGACCGAUAUAUCGGUCGUGCCUCGGUACGUACUGGUAUUUUCGGUUUCUACCUUCUGACGAACCUUGAUGUCAUUAAUUUGGUGUCUUGGGAAAUCAGGACUGUUACUUUGAAAAAAUUAGAGUGUUUAAAGCAGGCUCACGCUUGAAUACAUUAGCAUGGAAUAAUGAAAUAGGACGUUUGAUUCUAUUUUGUUGGUUUCUAGGAUCGACGUAAUGAUUAAUAGGGAUAGUUGGGGGCAUUAGUAUUCAAUUGUCAGAGGUGAAAUUCUUGGAUUUAUUGAAGACUAACUACUGCGAAAGCAUUUGCCAAGGAUGUUUUCAUUAAUCAAGAACGAAAGUUAGGGGAUCGAAGACGAUCAGAUACCGUCGUAGUCUUAACCAUAAACUAUGCCGACUAGGGAUCGGAUGAUGUUAAUUUUUUUAAUGACUCAUUCGGCGCCUUA